GGGUUCGUAGUCUAGCUUGGUUAGUGAUUGGCGCCUUCGGCGUCCGUCGGCUAUGAUUCGAGGUUCGGGACCUCGUGGCCGGAGUUCAAAUCUCCGCGAACCCA
RNAcentral lists this transfer RNA (104 nucleotides) under Candidatus Aenigmatarchaeota archaeon. Its description in RNAcentral is "tRNA-Pro". The record is from RNAcentral. Lineage: Archaea; Nanobdellati; Candidatus Aenigmatarchaeota.